UAUGUUCUUUAAAUUUAAAAAAUUUGGCGGUAUUUUAAUCUUAUUAGAGGAACCUGUUUAUUAAUUGAUAAUCCACGAUUAAUUUUACUUAUUUUAUUAAUUCAUAUAUCGCUGUCAUGAAUAUAUUAAAAAAUUUAUUUUCUUUAUUUAUAUUUAUAAUUUAUGUUAAGUCAAGAUGUGGUUUAUAAAUAAGUAUAUAAUGGGUUACAUUAAAUUAUAUUUUUGGAUUUUAAAUGAAAAUUAAAAUGAAAUUGGAUUUAAAAGUAAAUUUAUUUAUUUAAUUAAUAUGAAUAAAGAUUUAAAAUAUGUACAUAUUGCCCGUCAUUCUUAUUAAAAAUAAGACAAGUCGUAACAAAGUAAAUGUACUGGAAAGUGUAUUUAGAAAGAUUUAAUUAUAUAAA
Molecule: ribosomal RNA, 401 nt
Filed under: Megoura nigra
Lineage: Eukaryota; Metazoa; Arthropoda; Insecta; Hemiptera; Aphididae
Description: partial 12S small subunit ribosomal RNA
Source: RNAcentral